CACUUUUUAGAGGGUGCAUGUAAGUUUUCUCUUUACAAGUGUAUCACUGUUAUUGUUUCUUUUUUUACGCAUAGAUGGUCCAGGAGGUUCUGGAGAAGAGUUAAAUGGGAGAGGAAAUAAUAGAGGAGUAUAGUAGAGCACCUUGACACACUGUACAAGAAGGCAUCUUCUGAAUAUCCUGGUCCAUGGAAGGAUACCAGUACGUAGUCAAAGAAAAAGAUAUGCACUCGGCAUUGUGACUGUUUCCUAAUCUCAGGGAUCCUUACUCCACCAAUGGCUAUGAACACUUCUACGAUGCUGGAAGAGGGAUGGGC
This is a long non-coding RNA of Alosa sapidissima (American shad), 314 nucleotides long. RefSeq lists it as uncharacterized. The record is from RefSeq and is a predicted model, not a curated record. Lineage: Eukaryota; Metazoa; Chordata; Actinopteri; Clupeiformes; Clupeidae. The transcript has 3 exons.